UUUUGGGAGCUUGGAGAUUGUUGGAGCUUGGAUCCUCCACACCUCUGAGUUAGGGAUCGCACCACCCCUCGAUCUUCAAGAGGUAAGUGUAGAUAUUUGCUUCCUUUGUGUUUUAAUGAAGUUUUAAGUAAGUUUAUUGGAGUUUUAAUGGUUGAGUGUGGGUAGAUAUGCAUGUUUAGGUUUAUGUGGGUUUUAUGCCCAAUGUAUGCUUAUGCCUGUUUAUGUAUGUUUAUGUGAUGUUAUGUUGAAGGUUUAAGCUAGUUUGUGCAUGUGGGAGAGUGUAUGCAUGAUGGG
RNAcentral lists this long non-coding RNA (294 nucleotides) under Manihot esculenta (cassava). RNAcentral's name for it is "long non-coding RNA (MESC_LNC010846)". Lineage: Eukaryota; Viridiplantae; Streptophyta; Magnoliopsida; Malpighiales; Euphorbiaceae. The record is from RNAcentral.